Molecule: ribosomal RNA, 373 nt
Filed under: uncultured Bacteroidota bacterium
Lineage: Bacteria; Pseudomonadati; Bacteroidota
Description: bacterial SSU rRNA
Rfam family: Bacterial small subunit ribosomal RNA
Source: RNAcentral
UAAUACGGAGGGUGCAAGCGUUAUCCGGAUUUAUUGGGUUUAAAGGGUCCGCAGGCGGAACUUUAAGUCAGUGGUGAAAGCCUACAGCUUAACUGUAGAACUGCCAUUGAUACUGAAGUUCUUGAGUGUGGUUGAAGUGGGCGGAAUAUGUCAUGUAGCGGUGAAAUGCAUAGACAUGACAUGGAACACCAAUUGCGAAAGCAGCUCACUAAACCAUUACUGACGCUCAUGGACGAAAGUGUGGGUAGCGAACAGGAUUAGAUACCCUGGUAGUCCACACCGUAAACUAUGAUCACUAGAUGUUGGCGAUAUAAUGUCAGUGUUAAAGAGAAAUCGUUAAGUGAUCCACCUGGGGAGUACGUUCGCAAGAAUG